GCCUCGGUGGCUCCGAGGUGAGAGCGCCGGCCUAGGAUACCCAUGUGGCGGGUUCGAAUCCCGGCCGAGGUC
This is a non-coding RNA of Ixodes scapularis (black-legged tick), 72 nucleotides long. The record is from Rfam. Lineage: Eukaryota; Metazoa; Arthropoda; Arachnida; Ixodida; Ixodidae.